RNAcentral lists this ribosomal RNA (377 nucleotides) under uncultured bacterium. RNAcentral's name for it is "bacterial SSU rRNA". It matches the Rfam family "Bacterial small subunit ribosomal RNA", at positions 521 to 896 of the family's 1533-position model. The record is from RNAcentral.
UAAUACGUAGAUGGCUAGCGCUACCCGGAUUUACUGGGUGUAAAGAGGGCGUAGGCGGUCUUUCAAGUCGGAUGUAAAAUCUCCUGGCUUAACUAGGAGGGACCAUUCGAUACUGUUAGGCUAGAGGGCAGCAGAGGGAGGUGGAAUUCCCGGUGUAGUGGUGAAAUGCGUAGAUAUCGGGAGGAACACCAGUGGCGAAGGCGGCCUCCUGGGCUGUUGCUGACGCUGAGGCCCGAAAGCGUGGGGAGCGAACAGGAUUAGAUACCCUGGUAGUCCACGCUGUAAACUAUGGACACUAGGUAUGGGGAGUAUCGACCCUCUCUGUGCCGAAGCUAACGCAUUAAGUGUCCCGCCUGGGGACUACGGCCGCAAGGCUA